This 278-nucleotide ribosomal RNA is filed under the name uncultured bacterium. Its description in RNAcentral is "partial 16S ribosomal RNA". It matches the Rfam family "Bacterial small subunit ribosomal RNA", at positions 506 to 784 of the family's 1533-position model. The record is from RNAcentral.
UGCCAGCAGCCGCGUAAUACGUGGGGUGCAAACGUUGCUCGGAAUCAUUGGGCGUAAAGCGCACGUAGGCGGCGUAUCUAGUCAGAGGUGAAAGCCCGGGGCUCAACCCCGGAAUUGCCUUUGAUACUGGUAUGCUUGAGUUCGGAAGAGGGUAGUGGAAUUCCAAGUGUAGAGGUGAAAUUCGUAGAUAUUUGGAAGAACACCGGUGGCGAAGGCGGCUACCUGGUCCGAUACUGACGCUGAGGUGCGAAAGCGUGGGGAGCGAACAGGAUUAGAUA